RNAcentral lists this ribosomal RNA (855 nucleotides) under Saccharomyces cerevisiae (brewer's yeast). Its description in RNAcentral is "eukaryotic LSU rRNA". The stretch from base 355 to 508 matches the Rfam family "5.8S ribosomal RNA". The record is from RNAcentral. Lineage: Eukaryota; Fungi; Ascomycota; Saccharomycetes; Saccharomycetales; Saccharomycetaceae.
UCAAAAAUGGGGAUUUUUUUUUUUGUGUUGGCAGGAGCAUGACAGCUUUUGCUGGGCAAGAAGACAAAAGAAGGAGAGUCCAGCCGGGGCUGCGCUUAGCUGCGCGGUCUUGCGAGGGUUGUAAGUUUCCUUCUUGCUAUUCCAAACGGUGAAAGAUUUCGGUGCUUUUGUUAUAGGACAAUUAAAACCGUUUCAAUACAACACGCGGUGGAGUUUUCAUAUCUUUGCAACUUUUUCUUUGGGCAUUCCAGCAAUCUCGGGGCCCAGAGGUAACAAACACAAACAAUUUUAUCUAUUCAUUAAAUUUUUGUCAAAAACAAAAAUUUUCGUAACUGGAAAUUUUAAAAUAUUAAAAACUUUCAACAACGGAUCUCUUGGUUCUCGCAUCGAAAAACAACGCAGCGAAAUGCGAUACGUAAUGUGAAUUGCACAAUUCCGUGAAUCAUCUAAUCUUUGAACGCACAUUGCGCCCCUUGGUAUUCCGGGGGGCAUGCCUGUUUGAGCGUCAUUUCCUUCUCAAACAUUCUGUAUGGUAAUGAGUGAUACUCUUUGGACUUAACUUGAAAGUGCUGGCCUUUUCAUGGGAUGUUUUCUUUCCAAAGAGAGGUUUCUCUGCGUGCAUGAGGUAUAAUGCAAGUACGGUCUUUUUAUGUUUUACCACCCGCGGCUAAUCUUUUUUUAUACUGAGCGUAUUGGAGCGUUAUCGAUAAGAAAAGCAGCGUCUAGGCAAACCACUGUUCUUAAAAUUUGACCUCACAUCAGGGUAGGGAGUACCCCGCUGAUCUUAAGCAUAUCAUUAAGGCGAGAAGAAAAAGAAACCCCACCCGGGCAUUUGCCCUAUCAGUAACGUGAAAG